GGGACACGUGGUAUCCUGUCUGAAUAUGGGGGGACCAUCCUCCAAGGCUAAAUACUCCUGACUGACCGAUAGUGAACCAGUACCGUGAGGGAAAGGCGAAAAGAACCCCGGCGAGGGGAGUGAAAAAGAACCUGAAACCGUGUACGUACAAGCAGUGGGAGCACGCUUAGGCGUGUGACUGCGUACCUUUUGUAUAAUGGGUCAGCGACUUAUAUUCUGUAGCAAGGUUAACCGAAUAGGGGAGCCGAAGGGAAACCGAGUCUUAACUGGGCGUUAAGUUGCAGGGUAUAGACCCGAAACCCGGUGAUCUAGCCAUGGGCAGGUUGAAGGUUGGGUAACACUAACUGGAGGACCGAACCGACUAAUGUUGAAAAAUUAGCGGAUGACUUGUGGCUGGGGGUGAAAGGCCAAUCAAACCGGGAGAUAGCUGGUUCUCCCCGAAAGCUAUUUAGGUAGCGCCUCGUGAAUUCAUCUCCGGGGGUAGAGCACUGUUUCGGCAAGGGGGUCAUCCCGACUUACCAACCCGAUGCAAACUGCGAAUACCGGAGAAUGUUAUCACGGGAGACACACGGCGGGUGCUAACGUCCGUCGUGAAGAGGGAAACAACCCAGACCGCCAGCUAAGGUCCCAAAGUCAUGGUUAAGUGGGAAACGAUGUGGGAAGGCCCAGACAGCCAGGAUGUUGGCUUAGAAGCAGCCAUCAUUUAAAGAAAGCGUAAUAGCUCACUGGUCGAGUCGGCCUGCGCGGAAGAUGUAACGGGGCUAAACCAUGCACCGAAGCUGCGGCAGCGACGCUGAUGCGUUGUUGGGUAGGGGAGCGUUCUGUAAGCCUGCGAAGGUGUGCUGUGAGGCAUGCUGGAGG
This 861-nucleotide ribosomal RNA is filed under the name Escherichia coli. RNAcentral's name for it is "partial 23S ribosomal RNA". It matches the Rfam family "Bacterial large subunit ribosomal RNA", at positions 419 to 1279 of the family's 2925-position model. Lineage: Bacteria; Pseudomonadati; Pseudomonadota; Gammaproteobacteria; Enterobacterales; Enterobacteriaceae. The record is from RNAcentral.